GAUGAACGCUGGCGGCGUGCCUAAUACAUGCAAGUCGAGCGAACGGACGAGAAGCUUGCUUCUCUGAUGUUAGCGGCGGACGGGUGAGUAACACGUGGAUAACCUACCUAUAAGACUGGGAUAACUUCGGGAAACCGGAGCUAAUACCGUAUGAUAUUUUGAACCGCAUGGUUCAAAAGUGAAAGACGGUCUUGCUGUCACUUAUAGAUGGAUCCGCGCUGCAUUAGCUAGUUGGUAAGGUAACGGCUUACCAAGGCAACGAUGCAUAGCCGACCUGAGAGGGGGAUCGGCCACACUGGAACUGAGACACGGUCCAGACUACUACGGGAGGCAGCAGUAGGGAAUCUUCCGCAAUGGGCGAAAGCCUGACGGAGCAACGCCGCGUGAGUGAUGAAGGUCUUCGGAUCGUAAAACUCUGUUAUUAGGGAAGAACAUAUGUGUAAGUAACUGUGCACAUCUUGACGGUACCUAAUCAGAAAGCCACGGCUAACUACGUG
Molecule: ribosomal RNA, 497 nt
Filed under: uncultured bacterium
Lineage: Bacteria
Description: partial 16S ribosomal RNA
Rfam family: Bacterial small subunit ribosomal RNA
Source: RNAcentral